Molecule: ribosomal RNA, 480 nt
Filed under: uncultured bacterium
Lineage: Bacteria
Description: partial 16S ribosomal RNA
Rfam family: Bacterial small subunit ribosomal RNA
Source: RNAcentral
GACGAACGCUGGCGGCGUGCUUAACACAUGCAAGUCGAACGAUGAAGAAAAUAAUCGAAGCUUCGGCAGAAAUUCAUUUCGGAUUAGUGGCAGACGGGUGAGUAACGCGUGAGCAACCUACCUCUUACAAAGGGAUAGCCUCGGGAAACCGGGAUUAAUACCAUAUAACAUUGCGACGAAGCAUUUCGAUGCAAUCAAAGCUACGGCGGUAAGAGAUGGGCUCGCGUCCCAUUAACCGGAUGGUGAGGUAACGGCUCACCAUAGUGACGAUGGGUAACCGGCCUGAGAGGGUGAACGGUCACACUGGAACUGAGACACGGUCCAGACUCCUACGGGAGGCAGCAGUGGGGAAUAUUGCACAAUGGAGGGAACUCUGAUGCAGCGACGCCGCGUGAGUGAUGAAGGAAUUCGUUUCGUAAAACUCUGUUCUAUGGGAAGAAAAGGACUGUACCAUAGGAGAAAGCACCGGCUAAAUACGUG